RNAcentral lists this microRNA precursor (103 nucleotides) under Marmota monax (woodchuck). Lineage: Eukaryota; Metazoa; Chordata; Mammalia; Rodentia; Sciuridae. The record is from RNAcentral.
AGCACGAAUGCUGGAUCCUGUGGUGAGAAUAUGUUUAAUUUUGUAAGAAACCACCACAUUGUCUUCCAAAGUGGCUCUGCCAUUUCGCAUGCCCACCAGCAUU